UGAAUGUGCAUAAGAGUUAAGAGAAGUGUUCGAGAGUUUGAGAGACAUCAUAUCUAUAAGAGGGAAGAAGUAGAGAGUGAGUGAUUGUAUGAGAAGUUUUGAAUCAAUAUGGAAAAUCUCUCUGAAUGCAGGUCAACUAUUAGGGGCUGAACCACAUAAAUCAUGGUCUCAGGGAGUUGAUUUGGUGCUGAGGGUCCACAAAGCUACCAUGGACACGUAGAGAUUUGAUAGCUGUUAUUUCUACCUCUGCCACAUGUCGCGAUUAGGACAGAGGUCAGUCAAAUUGAUGAAAGCAUAUGAAGAGCUCAUAUUUAAUCUUCAUGAGUAUGUUUAGCCCUGUUCAAAAAAAAGAGUAUGUUUAGCACAUUCUUAAGCUUCUCCUUACUCUCAGGAUGCCUGAAAGUCUUUUCUCAAGUCUAUCUGGUGGGUAAUAUCGAUGAAGAUGAUGACACCCACCAUACCUUGCUUGCUUCAAGGUCGAUCUCUUGUAUCCUCCUCCUGCCGAAGACUUUAAGAGUAAACCUUGUCAUUCCAACUUUCAUCGAUCGAGUUUCAGUUGCUUUUUCUGUUGAUCCAGGUGAGAAAGCUUACUAAUUAAGGCAACCUCUGCUUUUGUCUAUCUCCCAAUAUAAGAAGCAUGUUGCUUUGCUCUUAUAGUAGUACUAAUGGGCGUACUUUAGAACAAAUUUCUAGCGAAGGUCUUGACAGUUUGGAACUGAAAGGUUUGGUUCAUUAAUAAUAUCUAGUAGUUUCAUCAUGCUAUUCUGCUUUUGAGCUUGUUGUACUUACCAGAGCAUUUCUACGAUAAAAAAAUUCAGAAUAGUAAAGCAGUCGUAGUAUGCUCCCUUUAUUUGCUCUAGUGCUCAAGUGAUAGCUGAGCGCAUGCUGUUUGCAUCUGAAUUAUAUAUAAAAGACUCUUAAAAACAACUACUUAAUUCUCCAUUACAAAGAAUAUACAUUACAUCAGAACCUAAUUAUUAUUUGUCAGUGACAUAAGUGUCGAAAAUAAUAGUAAUGGAAAUUUCGAAUGGUGUGGAAAAGGGUUAAAAGUUCAAUCUCAUAAGAAAGAAAAAUCUCCAUUUACAUCAAAAUCUCUUUCAGAUUUCUCUACCUCACUAUCACCACCGUUUUUCUUAUAAAUUAUCCACAAACACACUCACAAAUUCCACACAGUACCUAACAUCAUAUGCAAAUUUUGUUUUCACUGCAACCAGAGUCUGUUCUCUGGCAUAAAAAAACACUUCAUAAAGUAAGAAGGUAUCACAUUUUGAAUUUAAAUCAUUAAAAUAUUUAUUUCUAAUUAAAAAAACAAAUGAAACUUGUUUCCAAAUCAGCAGCAAUCCUAGGUGCUAUCCCUGAUUGUUGUCCAACUUUAACAUGAAUUAAUAUGAACUCGUGCUAAUUCAAAUGAAACUUGCUUCCAAAUCAGCAGCUUCCAGCCGUAUCUGCAUUCUAAAUAACAGAAAAUCAAGAACUCAUGAAGUGAGAUUGAUAGACAUGUUAGAGUAGGAUAGACUAAAGACCAUCAAACAUAAUAGCAAUAUGUGCAACAUCAAUCUAGCUAUGAUAGUGCAAAGAUAGCAAUCAAAUUUGCAGACAGAUAUGAAAGCCAAAGAAUGAAUUGAAGCCACUUUUUGGCUAUGGCCUUUCAGUGGUUUCCAUAACCAAUCAGAUCUAUUUGUAAGGGGAAACUAAUCACAUGCUACUAAAGAAGAUGAAUGGAAGAAAACCCCUCUAGAAAUUUUAGACCCAUUAUAUUUGUUGAACGGCUAAAACAACUCUUUGCUUUAUGUAGCACUGUUGUUGAAAGUACAAUAACCAAAUCAAAAACAUAUGCUGAUACUAAAUCGUAAUGUGAUAAUUACACACUCAUGCAAGCAAGACUUCCAAUCACACUAAAGUUUGAUUAAUUGAACCAUAGUAGAACAAUGAUUAAUUAUAAAAUCUAAUAUUGCCUUCGAAAAGUGACUUUUAAUAUAUGUAAUGAUGAUAGAUAGAUGUAGAAUUGAUGAACUAAGUCAGUAAAACUAUAUAUGCAUCACAGUAGUGCAACACCAAACACACAUCUCUAUCUCUUAUCUGGUGAAUAUAUACAUAUGUUUCACAGUAGUGCAACACCAAACACACAUCUCUAUCUCUUAUCUGGUGAAUAUAUAUAUAUAAUGGACUGAGAAAAACCUCCAUGAGUACUGGUCUCACAUGUUUCGUGGCUUACUUGAAAUGAGAGCAAGAUAAGAUCUUGAGUCAUCAAUCAUGUUUCAUCUUCAGCUAGCUGAGAAUCAGAGAGUGUAGUCAGAAAGAGGUAUGCACCUCAUUAUCGUUCUGUACCUACGGAUAAAUUCAUGUCAAAUGUUUCCAGGGAAGCCAAGGAAAUCAAUUUAUUGUUAGAACAUUGGUUUAGGCGUUUAGCAUAUUAGAAAGGAUAGCACCAGUUUUAAAAGUUUAACCUCAAUAGUAUAGCUUGAGCGAACAAAGAUAAGCAGUAAAAUCUCAUCCAUGAUAUGUAGUUCUGUAGUUGUAACGGCAAGCACCAACAAUAAUAAUUAAUUUCCUCGGUGCAAGAAGCCGGCAAAAAGAAAAAAUUACCAAAUAAAAAAGUUGCAAGGAAAAAAUCUACAACUUCUCCUUUCUCUCCCCUCAAUUCUUUCACUCCCUCAAUCCACUUCACUGACAAUGAUUAGGUUAAUCAAAACAUACACAGAUCAAUGUUUCACCUCCUAUAACAUAGGACACAAAUUUUAGAUGCAAAUUAAGAAAAACGAAUAAAAUAGAAUCACAUACAAAGGAGAAUCAGAAAACAUAAAAAACAAAUCAAAAUAUUGCAAAAUUUCAUAUAGAAUAUAAAAUGGACUCACCAUCCAUGGCUUCCAAAGAAUCUCUUUUGGUGGAAUAUCUAUAAAAAAAACCUGAAGAAAAGAAUUUGAAAUUAGCAUGGCAAGUGAUGAACGAAAUUGACCUUGAAGUCAAACAUGAGUGAAUGAAAGUUAAAGGUAAAGUAAAAUAAAAUUGAAAAAAACCAUAACAUAUUAUGCAAGCAAAGGAAGAAAAUAAUUUGAAACCUCCAUCUGCAACCUUCCCAAUCAGUCAAAGGCAGCAAAUCGGAGGGAUGCGAUUGCAAGUCGAUGGCAAAAUGGUUCCGUUGAGAGAUGAGACGAUUUUGUGGGGGUGGUUCCGUUCAGUGGAGAGAUGAGAUGAAAAUUGCAUGGAGGAGAUGAAUUCCAUGGAGGAGAUAGUGGAGGUAGGCAGGGUUUUAAGAGGGUUUUUGCUGAUGGGAUGUAUUAUUGAUUUAAAUCACUUAUCACAGAUUUUAUAUUAAGAUAAAAUCAUGAAAUAAACAACAUAAAUCCUAAUCAAAUCUAAAAUUUAAAAAUGUACUAAAUAAAUAUAGAUAAAAACUAU
Molecule: long non-coding RNA, 3399 nt
Organism: Lotus japonicus
Lineage: Eukaryota; Viridiplantae; Streptophyta; Magnoliopsida; Fabales; Fabaceae
Exons: 4
Source: RefSeq, a predicted model, not a curated record